Molecule: ribosomal RNA, 460 nt
Filed under: uncultured bacterium
Lineage: Bacteria
Description: partial 16S ribosomal RNA
Rfam family: Bacterial small subunit ribosomal RNA
Source: RNAcentral
CCUACGGGAGGCAGCAGUGAGGAAUAUUGGUCAAUGGACGAGAGUCUGAACCAGCCAAGUAGCGUGAAGGAUGACUGCCCUAUGGGUUGUAAACUUCUUUUAUAAAGGAAUAAAACGAGCCACGUGUGCCGUUUUGCAUGUACUUUAUGAAUAAGGAUCGGCUAACUCCGUGCCAGCAGCCGCGGUAAUACGGAGGAUCCGAGCGUUAUCCGGAUUUAUUGGGUUUAAAGGGAGCGUAGAUGGGUUGUUAAGUCAGUUGUGAAAGUUUGCGGCUCAACCGUAAAAUUGCAAUUGAUACUGGCAGUCUUGAGGACAGUUGAGGUAGGCGGAAUUCGUGGUGUAGCGGUGAAAUGCUUAGAUAUCACGAAGAACCCCGAUUGCGAAGGCAGCUUACUAAACUGUGACUGACAUUGAUGCUCGAAAGUGUGGGUAUCAAACAGGAUUAGAUACCCUUGUAGUC